GACUCUCGGCAACGGAUAUCUAGGCUCUCGCAUCGAUGAAGAACGUAGCAAACUGCGAUACUUGGUGUGAAUUGCAGAAUCCCGUGAACCAUCGAGUCUUUGAACGCAAGUUGCGCCCGAAGCCAUUAGGCCGAGGGCACGUCUGCCUGGGCGUCAGGCUUGGC
This 164-nucleotide ribosomal RNA is filed under the name Gongronemopsis philippinensis. RNAcentral's name for it is "Marsdenia philippinensis 5.8S ribosomal RNA". It matches the Rfam family "5.8S ribosomal RNA". Rfam says of the family: 5.8S ribosomal RNA (5.8S rRNA) is a component of the large subunit of the eukaryotic ribosome. It is transcribed by RNA polymerase I as part of the 45S precursor that also contains 18S and 28S rRNA. Functionally, it is thought that 5.8S rRNA may be involved in ribosome translocation. Lineage: Eukaryota; Viridiplantae; Streptophyta; Magnoliopsida; Gentianales; Apocynaceae. The record is from RNAcentral.